UACGAAGGGGGCUAGCGUUGUUCGGAAUUACUGGGCGUAAAGGGCGCGUAGGCUGUGCUGUAAGUCAGGCGUGAAAGCCCCGGGCUUAACCUGGGAACGGCGCUUGGGACGGUCCCGCUAGAGAUCGGGAGAGGAGCGUGGAAUUCCCAGUGUAGAGGUGAAAUUCGUAGAUAUUGGGAAGAACACCGGUGGCGAAGGCGGCGCUCUGGACCGAGACUGACGCUGAGGCGCGAAAGCGUGGGGAGCAAACAGG
This 253-nucleotide ribosomal RNA is filed under the name uncultured bacterium. Its description in RNAcentral is "partial 16S ribosomal RNA". It matches the Rfam family "Bacterial small subunit ribosomal RNA", at positions 524 to 776 of the family's 1533-position model. The record is from RNAcentral.